Molecule: ribosomal RNA, 253 nt
Filed under: uncultured bacterium
Lineage: Bacteria
Description: partial 16S ribosomal RNA
Rfam family: Bacterial small subunit ribosomal RNA
Source: RNAcentral
GACGUAGGGUGCGAGCGUUGUCCGGAUUUAUUGGGCGUAAAGAGCUCGUAGGCGGCUCGUUGCGUCAGCUGUGAAAACCCGCGGCUUAACUGUGGGCUUGCAGCUGAUACGGGCGGGCUGGAGUUCGGUAGGGGAGACUGGAAUUCCUGGUGUAGCGGUGAAAUGCGCAGAUAUCAGGAGGAACACCGGUGGCGAAGGCGGGUCUCUGGGCCGAUACUGACGCUGAGGAGCGAAAGCGUGGGGAGCGAACAGG